Molecule: non-coding RNA, 1450 nt
Organism: Camellia sinensis
Lineage: Eukaryota; Viridiplantae; Streptophyta; Magnoliopsida; Ericales; Theaceae
Source: RefSeq, a predicted model, not a curated record
UUUGCAGAUCACAUGGCACGAUGCUGGCCAGAGUCAGGGACUAGUAUGCUGGAGCUUGGGCUACCUCUAGGUACCGGAUAUUGCUGGAGGGCCCAUUCUACCGAGCCUGGUUUCUGGGUGAGCAUUUCAUACACAAUACUACGAGCUUACCUGCCCCAGUCGUUCCCAUGCCAUUCCCAGCAUCCAUAAGGACGGCCAGUAGCCUCCCAACUGAGGAUGUUAUUCAGUUUAUGGUGGGGCUAGAUGCCGACUACUUCAGAGGGACGGGAGAUUAUACAACCUUCAUCAGGACUCACCUCGUGCCACCCCUGAUGGGAGGUCGCGCGGGCGAUGCAGCAGGUGCUCCUUUGGCUGGAGAGGCUGCUCAAGAGGCCGAUGCAAGUAUUAGAGAGGCCCCUUCCACUGUGCAGGUUACCAGUUGGCCGGCGAUCCUUACCGUGCUUACUUGUUGGCGACCGGGUGGAACAGCCUAUCAAAUUCUGAUGGACUUACAUGCCCCAGUCAUUCCCAUGCCAUUCCCAGCAUCCAUGAGGAUGGCCAAUAGCCUUCCAAAUGAGGAUAUUAUUCAAUUUAUGGUGGGGCAAGAUGCUGACUACUUUAGAGGGGCAGGAGAUUAUACAACCUUCAUCAGGACUCACUUCAUGCCACCCCUAAUGGGAGGUCGCGCGGGCGAUGCAGUAGGUGCUCCUUUGGCUGGAGAGGCUGCUUAGGAGGCCGAUGCAGGUAUUGGAAAUGCCCCUCCCACUGUGCAGGCUGCCAGUUGGCCGACGAUCCCUACCGUGCUUACUUGUUGGCAACUGGGUGGGACAACCUAUCAAAUUCUGAUAGAGCCACCAGAGCUAGGGCACGGGUAUGUCAGAGCUCCAAGCACACCUUAGGCGCCCCUGGAGUACACGGAGGGCCUUCUCCAGCUGGUUGCUUCUCUCGUUGGCAUGGUAUAGAGGAGAGAGACAUUGCUUGGUCUCUAUGGUAUUCAGAUCCCAUCUGCACUGAGGGCACUAGUAACAGCGGUGGCACCUGCUCCGGCGACAGGGAGAAGAGGUAGACAGGUCCCAGCAUGCGACCGAGAUGAGCGCCGAGGUCGAGACAGAGAUAGGGGUGCUCAGAGCCGGAGCAACGAGUCUGAGCCUGUAUUGAGCAGGGAUGAUACUGAGACCAGCAACUCCGAUAAGGCAGUGAGCUGAUAUUCUGAGUCAUCUGAGAGCGGGGGCGAUGAUGCUGGCUCGAGGUUAGAGAGCAGAGACGAUGUCGAGAUUGGCUUUGAGUUAGGGAGCAGAGAUGAUGACAUUGGAUAGUGGUGCUGAUGGAGACAAUGCCCUUAAGUCCCCUCUGAGGAAGAGAACGAAGAAGGCCUCUUAAGCCUGAUGCGACCGGCGCUGAUUUUUAUACUUUUUUGCUUAGUUUCUUUCAUUUUGUAGUCUAGCACAUAUAUAGCUUCAGAUAGGUUUUA